AUGGUAUUUAUUGAGCGCUUGCUGUGGGCGCAGCGGUAUACCAAGUGGCCUACCCCGGCCUCCGGCCCCAAGGAGAGCCCGCCCUGGCUGAGUCUGGGGGCCUGCAGGUCCGUGCCCCCCGCUCCCACCCGCCGCAGCCUCAGUGGGCCAAAGCAGAGGCGUCGGAGGUGGGGAAGGGGCUGCAGCAGCGUUGAUGGGGUUAACGCACUAAGGGGGGGGGUCUCCUUGAGCCCCACCCUCCAUCCCCUCAUCCAGGGAUUGUGUGUGCGCACAAGUGUGCGUACAAGUGUGUCGGUGGGAGGCUGUGUCUACACGGGGAGAGGCGUGUGUGUGUGUGAUGGUGACCGUGUAGCUGGGAGGGGGCGAAUAUGUAGGGGGAGAUGUGUGCAUGUGUGUGCGCGCAUGAACGUGUGUGCGCGCAUGUAUACGGGGAGGCAGCUUAGCCGGUGGAGAGGGGAGGGGAGGGUUUCGACCCGCCUGUUCUCGACGCUUGGCCCUACGAUUCCAGUCCGGGAGGCCGGAGCCGCAUCGGGGGCCAUCUCUCCGAGGGCUGCCCGCCGUCGGGAAGGGACACUGUCUUCUUCUCCCCUCUCGCGGACCCUUCGCCCCGGUCCCGAAGGACGGCCCCGCCUGGACCACUGGGCCGGCGGCGGGCGUGGGCAUGAUUCAGCGGCCGGAGGCUCUCCGCCCCCCUCCCCCGUCCCGUUCUGUCUCCGCCCCCUCCCCAUCCCCUCCCCAUCCUCAUCCCCAUCCCCUCCCCAUCCCAUCCCAUCCCUCUUCGCCGGAGCUGCCAGCUGCCCGUCUUCGCCGGGACUUCGCCGAGGCCAUGGUGGUCCUUCGGGGCGGGGGCUGGGAUGCGAUGCGAUGGCUGGGAUCCGGGGUGGGGGUUGGGAUGCGCUGGUUGCGAUAGGGUGGGGGUGGUGAUGUGACGGUGGGGAUGGGGUGAUGGUCGCGAUGGGGUGGGGUGACGGUUUCUCCUCGCCGACAGGCUCCGGCUCUCGGUAGGCCCCAGCGGCCGGGGGUCUGGGGUCUGCGGACGACCCUCCCCGUCUGGGCUGGGGGUG
RNAcentral lists this long non-coding RNA (1064 nucleotides) under Ornithorhynchus anatinus (platypus). RNAcentral describes it as "lncRNA (ENSOANG00000045681.1)". Lineage: Eukaryota; Metazoa; Chordata; Mammalia; Monotremata; Ornithorhynchidae. The record is from RNAcentral.